Triticum urartu is the source of this 182-nucleotide non-coding RNA. The record is from RefSeq and is a predicted model, not a curated record. NCBI's taxonomy places the organism in Eukaryota, Viridiplantae, Streptophyta, Magnoliopsida, Poales, Poaceae.
AGGAUCGACCGGGUCGAUGCUAAUCUAGACGAAACACAAGAAAUUAUCGAAGGGACAAGGGAUGAGGUCGCAGUGAUCCAUGUGGAUCUGAGCGCCUUUCAGAAGGAGCUCCAAGAAGUCAGCCGUACGGUUGAAAUAUGGGGGUCAAGGCUCUCUGGUAUCGAGGACACCCAGGUAAGCAC